This 866-nucleotide long non-coding RNA is filed under the name Homo sapiens (human). Its description in RNAcentral is "non-protein coding lnc-UTP23-12:1". The record is from RNAcentral. Lineage: Eukaryota; Metazoa; Chordata; Mammalia; Primates; Hominidae.
AGAUACAGGAAUACAUAUGCAGAUUUGUUACAUGGGAAUACUGCAUGAUGCUGAGGUUUGGAGUACAGAUCCUGUCAACCUGGUAUUGAGCAUAUGUGAAACAUUACUGUUGGGGGAAACUGGAUGAAGGAAAUAUGGGAUAUAUCUAUAUUGUUACACUUGCUUGAAAACCUAAAAUUACGAGAGCUCCAGUACAAGAAGCACUAAAAAAAAUUAUUCUGGCUGAUGGAAAAUGCUACCACCCAAAACCUUAGAUCUUCAGGAAGGAAUUGAAACUCGUCGUAUAAAUUCAAUCAAUGACCUGGAUUGAAAACAGCUGUUCUGGGAUAUACUGAGACCUUCAAGCUUCAGAUGAUUAUACAACAAAGCUUCAAGCAAGUUCCAGGUGAAGACACCACCACUGGCCAUCAAGAAGCUACCCUGCCUCCUCUAGACAGAGGAGGGCAAGAGUUCUGUGAUCUCUAAUAGGUAGGGACUACUCCCCAAGCCAGCAUGAAGCAGUUACAUAAGAAAGACCAUCGGUCCCUUCACCUCCCAUAAAGAUUUACAAGAAUCACAUCUCUCAGCAGGGAAAUGAGGCAGGAAAAUAGGGUCUGGAAGCAGGGAAUAUAAGGCCAAUUCACAUUUCAGCAAUAACAGGAAAUAUCCUCUCUAUAGGGGGUAUGCUGAGUAAAUGACUUUGUAACUUUACUUCAUCUUCUCCAUAUAAUACAUAAGGCAUACACCAAGUAACCAAUGGAAACCUCUAGAGAUUAUUUAAACAUCCCAAAAAUCUGUAAUGGGGCCCUUGAGCCCCUAUGCUCAGGUCUGCUCCCAUACUGUGGACUGUAUUUUCAUUUUCAGUAAAUCCCUUCAUUUCUUCCUUG